Molecule: ribosomal RNA, 464 nt
Filed under: Vreelandella stevensii
Lineage: Bacteria; Pseudomonadati; Pseudomonadota; Gammaproteobacteria; Oceanospirillales; Halomonadaceae
Description: partial 16S ribosomal RNA
Rfam family: Bacterial small subunit ribosomal RNA
Source: RNAcentral
CCUACGGGUGGCAGCAGUGGGGAAUAUUGGACAAUGGGCGAAAGCCUGAUCCAGCCAUGCCGCGUGUGUGAAGAAGGCCUUCGGGUUGUAAAGCACUUUCAGUGGGGAAGAAAGCCUUGGGGCUAAUACCCUCGAGGAAGGACAUCACCCACAGAAGAAGCACCGGCUAACUCCGUGCCAGCAGCCGCGGUAAUACGGAGGGUGCGAGCGUUAAUCGGAAUUACUGGGCGUAAAGCGCGCGUAGGCGGUCUGAUAAGCCGGUUGGGAAAGCCCCGGGCUCAACCUGGGAACGGCAUCCGGAACGGUCAGGCUAGAGGGCGGGAGAGGAGGGUAGAAUUCCCGGUGUAGCGGUGAAAUGGGUAGAGAACGGGAGGAAUACCAGUGGCGAAGGCGGCCUUCUGGACUGACACUGACGCUGAGGUGCGAAAGCGUGGGUAGCAAACAGGAUUAGAUACCUUGUAGUC